CAGCCGCCGCGGGAACACGUAGGUGGCAAGCGUUGUCCGGAAUUAUUGGGCGUAAAGGGCUCGCAGGCGGUUUCUUAAGUCUGAUGUGAAAGCCCCCGGCUCAACCGGGGAGGGUCAUUGGAAACUGGGAAACUUGAGUGCAGAAGAGGAGAGUGGAAUUCCACGUGUAGCGGUGAAAUGCGUAGAGAUGUGGAGGAACACCAGUGGCGAAGGCGACUCUCUGGUCUGUGACUGACGCUGAGGAGCGAAAGCGUGGGGAGCGAACAGGAUUAGAUACCCCUGUAGUCCCUGUCUCUUAUAC
RNAcentral lists this ribosomal RNA (301 nucleotides) under uncultured bacterium. Its description in RNAcentral is "partial 16S ribosomal RNA". It matches the Rfam family "Bacterial small subunit ribosomal RNA", at positions 509 to 807 of the family's 1533-position model. The record is from RNAcentral.